GAAUUGUCAAGAGGUGUUGGAAGUAGUACAUGAAGUCUGCCGUAUUUUUUAAUCACAUAAAUCUCAAGCUUCCCAUGUUCAUACCUUCAGCUAUUGAAACUUCAGGUUUGAAUAAUAUGUGCUUGGACUAAUAUGUGAAGGGAAUAUUUAUUGAGCUCUUCUUGGACUACUAAUAAUUUUAAAUAAAUAAAUGCAUAGAUAGCUUUCUUCCACCCCCUUUAAUUGAAGACUUUGUUGCUAUAUUUAUCCCUCACCCCUCAGCAUUAUGAUUUUGUACUUUUCUGCUUUUUCUGUCAAUUCUUGACUGGUUGAGCUGUAAUUCAACUUUGCAUCCUCUCCAUCUGAAUGAUAGUACAUAUUGCUUGUUGGAAGUUAGAAAAAUGAAUGUGUGUAAAUAUGUAUAUAUAUAUGUAUAUAUAUAUAUAUAUAUAUAUAUAUAGUAUUCAAUAACCUUGGGAUAAGAGCAAUAAAUACACAGCAAAGGAGUUGGAAAAUGCUUCCUCUCCCAGAGAUUGUACUUGGGGCUGCACCUGCCAAGAUCUACUAUUCCACAGCUUUUGACUGAGAAUAUGCAAAAAUCUUGAUAGACUUUUGGGUCAAUUUGGCCUGCAAUAUAGAAUUUCAAAAAUUGAGAGUGACUAAAGUUUUUGGUCUACAAAUUCAACCUUCAAAUCCCUACUAUUGAGCACAAAAGAUGAAGCAGCUCAUCAUCUUGUUGAUGCCAGCCUUCCAACAAUGGACUUUUGCCUUUGGACCACUUAAAAAGUGUGGAAAAAUAUUUAAUAAAAAAUAAAAUCCCAUGAAAAAUUGUCUGAUGAAGUUAUUUUUUAAAAAUAAAAUAAAAAACAAAACAAAACAAAAGUAUACAGACAAACAGCCUUUUCCAUUCUAUUAUUUUAUUUCUCUUAUGCUUGCUGAACAUGAAUGGUGUGUUGGUUCUUUAUUCUUUUAUUUUAUUUCUCUUGUACUCACUGAACAUGAAUGUUGCAUUGGUCUUCCUGAAUUUUCUCAACAUGGUA
Molecule: long non-coding RNA, 1019 nt
Filed under: Physcomitrium patens
Lineage: Eukaryota; Viridiplantae; Streptophyta; Bryopsida; Funariales; Funariaceae
Description: long non-coding RNA (PPAT_LNC003267)
Source: RNAcentral